GACGGACGCUGGCGGCGUGCCUAAUACAUGCAAGUAGAACGCUGAAGAGAGGAGCUUGCUCUUCUUGGAUGAGUUGCGAACGGGUGAGUAACGCGUGGGUAACCUGCCUUGUAGCGGGGGAUAACUAUUGGAAACGAUAGCUAAUACCGCAUAACAAUGGAUGACACAUGUCAUUUAUUUGAAAGGGGCAAUUGCUCCACUACAAGAUGGACCUGCGUUGUAUUAGCUAGUAGGUGAGGUAAUGGCUCACCUAGGCGACGAUACAUAGCCGACCUGAGAGGGUGAUCGGCCACACUGGGACUGAGACACGGCCCAGACUCCUACGGGAGGCAGCAGUAGGGAAUCUUCGGCAAUGGGGGCAACCCUGACCGAGCAACGCCGCGUGAGUGAAGAAGGUUUUCGGAUCGUAAAGCUCUGUUGUAAGUCAAGAACGGGUGUGAGAGUGGAAAGUUCACACUGUGACGGUAGCUUACCAGAAAGGGACGGCUAACUACGUG
Molecule: ribosomal RNA, 497 nt
Filed under: uncultured bacterium
Lineage: Bacteria
Description: partial 16S ribosomal RNA
Rfam family: Bacterial small subunit ribosomal RNA
Source: RNAcentral